GCGGGGCCGCCGGGCUCAUUAGCAUCCGGCGCCGUGCGACCCCUGCCGGCCAUGGGGCGCCCAAGCCGGGCGAGGCUGCGGGUGCGGAAACUGGAGGCCAACAGGUGCACGGGCUUGCCAAACACCAUGGAACGCCGUGAGGCCGCUGGAAAUCAUUCCAGGAACCUGCGGGGCCGCUGUGCAGAUCUCAUGCAGAUAUUCAGGCACUGGGAAGAAUGCACACAGAGAGACGCCAGCAACCAUGCCUGCUCAAGAGGAAAUCAUGAGGGCUGGGGAUAUAGCUCAGUGGCACAAGCACCUGCCUGGCAAGCGUAAGGUCCUGAGUUUAAUUUCCAGUACCAAAAAAAACAAAAACAAAAACAAAAAAAACAAACAAAAAACCCCCAAUAAACUAAAAAAAAAGAAAAAGGAAAUCAUCCUUCAGCUUCAAGAGACUCAGUGUCUCAUAAGAGACAGAAUUGUCUGUGACAUUUCUAGAGUAAGUUGAAAAACACAAUCUUCUAUGGAUGAUGUCCCACAGCCCGUAUUAGCAUUACUUAGCACCCCCUUUCUGUUAUAUAUCCUGUACAGUAGGACUCCUGAUUUUCAUCAAAAGCAACUGGUAUACUACUUUUA
Molecule: long non-coding RNA, 615 nt
Filed under: Chinchilla lanigera (long-tailed chinchilla)
Lineage: Eukaryota; Metazoa; Chordata; Mammalia; Rodentia; Chinchillidae
Description: lncRNA (ENSCLAG00000023213.1)
Source: RNAcentral